Trifolium pratense (red clover) is the source of this 2318-nucleotide RNA transcript. RefSeq lists it as uncharacterized. The transcript is spliced from 4 exons. NCBI's taxonomy places the organism in Eukaryota, Viridiplantae, Streptophyta, Magnoliopsida, Fabales, Fabaceae. The record is from RefSeq and is a predicted model, not a curated record.
UUAAAUCACACGUUUUAAAUCAGAUGUCAUCCACCUGAUUUAAAAACCUUAAAAUAUAGGACACGGAAGGAAGACUUUUAAAGGAAUAAAAGCUAAAUCAGUUAGCCUGAUUUAAAAAAAUUAUUUAUAAUUAAAAAAAAUAAAAAUCAUUUUCACUUCUUCAGAUCUGCGACGACGAACACCAACAAAGCCUAGAACACAAAUUCUCUCAGAUCUGCACCAAAAACCCUAAACACAUACUUCCUUUUCACUUUCUCUCUGCGACGACGAACACCAACAAGGGUUCCUUCUCUGAGCGUAGUCUCUGCGACGAACGAACACGAACAGGACUUCCGAUUCAACCACCGCUUUUGGUCUUCUCAUUCCAAGGUAUCUCUCUUUCUUCAGUAUGUAGCUCCAAACUUAUUUAAUCUCAAUUUUAUGUGUUGUGUGAUGUUGUGUUUUCUUAAGUUCAAUUUGUUUUGUAAAUCUAGUUUAGAUUUAGUUUCUAUAAGUAGAUUUGCAUAAGUUUGUGUAAGUUAAAUUUGUGUGAGUGUGUUUAUGUGCUGCAAUUAAGGUAAAUUUCCCUCGGUGGUGUUUCUGGAAAAAUUUCCUCAGUAUUAUAAUGCAUAUUAUGAUUUGGUGGUAACUACAACUGUACAACUGUGACACAGUCGUAGAAUGUUAUUAUAAUCUGAUUAGUAUAUGAUGGCUAGGUUUAGGCUAUAGUUGUUUCAGAGUAAGAAAGAAUGAUGUUAAUAAAAAAUAGAGGAAUCUUAAAUUGCAUAUCAGAAAGAGGAAUGUUUUUGUUUCAUAUUUAGCAGGAUAUAUGGUGCUAACUUAGGGAUAAUGACUGUCAGGUCAUUUGGUGCUGAUAUAUAGUAUAUGUUUAAAGUGCAUUUGUGAUAAUUAAAUGGGAUAAUUAACUUUUGGUGGCGAUCCAACACUAUGUCUUGCAUGUUGGAACAUAUGGAUGCUUAUUUGUCAGGUCAUCGAGUAUUAUGUGAUAAACCGACUUUUGAAUGUUGUUGUUUUUCUUUUCAAUUAUCAUUUACCUGUUGAUCCAAUGGACGCAUUUGAAGAUUGAUCGACAAAGAGAUGGUAUGUGCUUAUUUUGUAGUUGUCCUUUCCUGAAGAAAAGAUUAUUAAAACCUACAAUAUUAUUUUUUCAUUUGUCUUUUUGAUGGGGUUGGAGAAGGAUGCAGCAGAAAACUGAUAUUUUACUCUUUUUUUUUUGGUACAAACUGAUAUUUUUCUUUUAGUCCUGCCCUUGUAUUGUAUCAGCUUACUUGUGAAUGCAUCUACACAUAUAUGUGUGUGCGGCUGUUCGCCUGAAUCUAUGCCUAUAUAUAAUGGGGAUACUAACUUUUGGUUACUGUUUCUUUUGAUUUUAUCCUUUAUUUGAACUAUUUUAUUUAUAAUUUUAUCAUUUUUUAUCCAAUCAAAUAAUUGAGUUUUCUAUACAUAUAUAUAAAGGGAAUACUAAUUUCAUUGCUAAUGGUUGAUGAAGUAGGAACUGUAGAAUUUGUAGUUCUGUGUGUCUAAAUUAUAGACCAAACCACCUGUAUUUUGAGCAUAAGUCUUUUGAGCAUCUGUUUAUUUAUCUCUUAAAUUUUCUUCCCGAGUGUGGAGAGCGAAUUAGUUUUCUGUCUAUAUUGUAGCCUAUCAAAGAUCGUUGAGUUAAAUUGAUUUCUUUUUUCCUUUCUUUUCAUAAAUUAGUGGUUUUUGUAAUGGGUUUGUGACAUAUUUUUUCAAUAUAGGACAGGACCAGCAACUGCUCAAGUUGGGGACGGGAAGAAAUAAAAUGUGUGCAAUCAAGCUACCUAAUCAUAAACAAACAAAUCAUGCUGAUGAAAAUUGCAGUCAGAUGUUGAAAGGAAUAGAUUUAAAGGAGAAAAGACUUAAAGAGGGGAACACCUUGAUUGAAUUAGAAUCUGAUGCAGUCCAGAAUUAAAAGGUCUGAAGACAUUCGUUUGGAAAUAUGGAGAGGAUUGAUUCAACCCAGCGAUUUUAAGAAUGGUCUCCCGAAACCAACUUAUGAGUUAACUGUUAAAGGAGGAGACAAAGUUAAGCAUACAAAUAGAAGGAAUCGAGGUUACAAGUAUAAAUUUGUAACUUUAUGGUUUAUAAUUGAUGAUUUUAGGUUAUAUGAUAUUAACUACUAUUAUGGAAUGAUUUUAGUAUAUAUAAGUAUAAUUUAUGCUAUUAGGUGUAUGAUACUCUAUUAUUAUAGUAUGAUGAUUUUAGUGUAGAAGUAUAAUUUUGUAACUUUAUGUUAUUAAUGGAUGAUUUUGGAUUAAAUAAAUUUUGGUGUAUGGUACUCGAGAAACAAUAGUAAA